AUGAAGGACUAUGUCCUCUUUAGGAAAGACAGGCUGUGGAAGCGAGGGGGUAGGGUUGCCCUUUAUGUGAGGGAGCAAUUACAGUGUACCCAGCUCCAGCUGGGGCAGGGUCAAGGACAAGUGGAGAGCUUGUGGGUAAGAAUUAAGGGGUGGGCUGGUAUGGGAGAUAAGGUGGUAGGGGUCUACUACAGGUCUCCAGAUCAGGAGGAGGAAGUCGAUGAGACCUUCUACAAACAGCUGCUAGUAGCCUCACAAUCACGAAUGCUGGUCCUCAUGGGGGACUUCAAUUACCCAGACAUCUGCUGGGUAAGCAAUUCGGCCAGGCAUGAGCAGUCCAAACAGUUCCUACAAUCCGUUGAGGACAAUUUUCUGACGCAGGUGGUGGAGGAGCUGACGAGGCGGGGGAUGCUCCUGGACGUCGUUCUUACCAACAGAGAUGGCCUUGUUAGAGAUGUGAAUGUUGGGGGCAGCUUGGGAUGCAGCGACAAUGAGAUGUUGGAGUUCCAGAUGGAACUAGGCAAAGGAAGUAUGGCUAAAAGCAGGAUUGCUACCCUGGACUUCCGAAGAGCCAACUUUCACCUCUUCUGGGACCUGCUUGGGAGUAUCUCAUGGGAUAGGUUGCUAGAAGGCAAGGGUGCUUGUGAGAGCUGGGCUACAGUUAAGCAGCACUUCUUCCAUGCUCAGGAUCAGUGCAUCCCAAAGAAUAGGAAAUUGGGGAAAGGGGGCAGGAAACCUGUGUGGAUGAGUAAUGAGCUCAUCAAUAUGAUCAAAAGGAAGAGGAAAGUCUAUGAAAUGUGGAAAAAGGGCCUGUCCUCUUGUGGGGAGUAUAGAUGUGUUGUCAGGGCUUGCAGGGAUGCGACAAGGAAGGCUAAAGCCCACCUAGAGAUGAGGCUUGCAAAAGAGAUAAAGGAUAAUAAAAAGGUUUUUUUCAAGUAUGUAAACAGCAAGAGGAAGACUAGGGAUAAUGUGGGUCCCUUGCUGAAUGAGGGAGGUGUCCUGGUCAUGGGAGACUCUGAGAAGGCAGAGAUACUGAAUGUUUUCUUUGCUUCAGUCUUUGCUUCAAGGACACUCCCCCCAGGACUCCUCGCCCUUGACAACAGGACAAAGGGUCUGGGAAAUGGUGGGCUUCCUCCUGGUGGAUGUGGGAGUGGUUCAGGAGCGUCUGAGUGGGCUCAACAUACACAAAUCCAUGGGUCCCGAUGGGAUGCAUCUGCGUGUGCUAAGGGAGCUGGCAGUUGUGAUUGCCGAACCACUCUCUAUCAUCUUUGA
Molecule: long non-coding RNA, 1269 nt
Filed under: Cairina moschata (Muscovy duck)
Lineage: Eukaryota; Metazoa; Chordata; Aves; Anseriformes; Anatidae
Description: domestica (muscovy Duck (domestic type)) lncRNA (ENSCMMG00000015374.1)
Source: RNAcentral